GACGAACGCUGGCGGCGUGCUUAACACAUGCAAGUCGAACGCUGAAGCUCAGCUUUUGUUGGGUGGAUGAGUGGCGAACGGGUGAGUAACACGUGAGUAACCUGCCUCCUUCUUUGGAAUAACGCCCGGAAACGGGUGCUAAUACUGGAUAUUCACUGGUCUUCGCAUGGGGGUUGGUGGAAAGGGUUUUUCUGGUGGGGGAUGGGCUCGCGGCCUAUCAGCUUGUUGGUGGGGUGAUGGCCUACCAAGGCUUUGACGGGUAGCCGGCCUGAGAGGGUGACCGGUCACAUUGGGACUGAGAUACGGCCCAGACUCCUACGGGAGGCAGCAGUGGGGAAUAUUGCACAAUGGGCGCAAGCCUGAUGCGGCGACGCCGCGUGAGGGAUGGAGGCCUUCGGGUUGUGAACCUCUUUCGCUCAUGGUCAAGCCGCAACAAUGGUUGUGGUGAGGGUAGUGGGUAAAGAAGCGCCGGCUAACUACGUG
Molecule: ribosomal RNA, 483 nt
Filed under: uncultured bacterium
Lineage: Bacteria
Description: partial 16S ribosomal RNA
Rfam family: Bacterial small subunit ribosomal RNA
Source: RNAcentral